GAUGAACGCUGGCGGCGUGCUUAACACAUGCAAGUCGAACGAAGCAUUUGCGACAGAUUUUUUCGGAAUGAAGUUGCUUAUGACUGAGUGGCGGACGGGUGAGUAACGCGUGGGUAACCUGCCUUGUACUGGGGGAUAGCAGCUGGAAACGGCUGGUAAUACCGCAUAAGCGCACAAUGUUGCAUGACAUGGUGUGAAAAACUCCGGUGGUAUAAGAUGGACCCGCGUCUGAUUAGCUAGUUGGUGAGAUAACAGCCCACCAAGGCGACGAUCAGUAGCCGACCUGAGAGGGUGACCGGCCACAUUGGGACUGAGACACGGCCCAGACUCCUACGGGAGGCAGCAGUGGGGAAUAUUGCACAAUGGAGGAAACUCUGAUGCAGCGACGCCGCGUGAGUGAAGAAGUAACUCGUUAUGUAAAGCUCUAUCAGCAGGGAAGAUAGUGACGGUACCUGACUAAGAAGCUCCGGCUAAAUACGUG
RNAcentral lists this ribosomal RNA (481 nucleotides) under uncultured bacterium. RNAcentral's name for it is "partial 16S ribosomal RNA". It matches the Rfam family "Bacterial small subunit ribosomal RNA", at positions 28 to 507 of the family's 1533-position model. The record is from RNAcentral.